GUGUCAGCUGCCGCGGUAAUACGUAGGGAGCGAGCGUUGUCCGGAAUUACUGGGCGUAAAGGGUGCGUAGGCGGCAUGGCAAGUCAGAUGUGAAAUUCCCGGGCUUAACUCGGGGGGUGCAUUUGAAACUGCUGAGCUUGAGUGCAGGAGAGGAAAGCGGAAUUCCUAGUGUAGCGGUGACAUGCGUAGAUAUUAGGAGGAACACCAGUGGCGAAGGCGGCUUUCUGGACUG
This 232-nucleotide ribosomal RNA is filed under the name uncultured bacterium. Its description in RNAcentral is "partial 16S rRNA". It matches the Rfam family "Bacterial small subunit ribosomal RNA", at positions 505 to 736 of the family's 1533-position model. The record is from RNAcentral.